CCUACUGGCGGCUGCAGUGGGGAAUAUUGGACAAUGGGCGAAAGCCUGAUCCAGCCAUGCCGCGUGUGUGAAGAAGGCCUUCGGGUUGUAAAGCACUUUCAGUGGGGAAGAAAGCCUUGGGGCUAAUACCCUCGAGGAAGGACAUCACCCACAGAAGAAGCACCGGCUAACUCCGUGCCAGCAGCCGCGGUAAUACGGAGGGUGCGAGCGUUAAUCGGAAUUACUGGGCGUAAAGCGCGCGUAGGCGGUCUGAUAAGCCGGUUGUGAAAGCCCCGGGCUCAACCUGGGAACGGCAUCCGGAACUGUCAGGCUAGAGUGCAGGAGAGGAAGGUAGAAUUCCCGGUGUAGCGGUGAAAUGCGUAGAGAUCGGGAGGAAUACCAGUGGCGAAGGCGGCCUUCUGGACUGACACUGACGCUGAGGUGCGAAAGCGUGGGUAGCAAACAGGAUUAGAUACCCCGGUAGUC
Molecule: ribosomal RNA, 465 nt
Filed under: Vreelandella stevensii
Lineage: Bacteria; Pseudomonadati; Pseudomonadota; Gammaproteobacteria; Oceanospirillales; Halomonadaceae
Description: partial 16S ribosomal RNA
Rfam family: Bacterial small subunit ribosomal RNA
Source: RNAcentral